GACAACUUAGUUUAUAAAAAUAGAUACUUUGAAAGUAUUAGUAAGAAAAUAUUUUCUAGUCGUCG
This 65-nucleotide transfer RNA is filed under the name Engaeus quadrimanus. Its description in RNAcentral is "tRNA-Ser". The record is from RNAcentral. Lineage: Eukaryota; Metazoa; Arthropoda; Malacostraca; Decapoda; Parastacidae.